This 468-nucleotide ribosomal RNA is filed under the name uncultured bacterium. RNAcentral's name for it is "partial 16S ribosomal RNA". It matches the Rfam family "Bacterial small subunit ribosomal RNA", at positions 28 to 507 of the family's 1533-position model. The record is from RNAcentral.
GACGAACGCUGGCGGCGCGCUUAACACAUGCAAGUCGAACGGAAAGGCCCUGCUUUUGUGGGGUGCUCGAGUGGCGAACGGGUGAGUAACACGUGAGUAACCUGCCCUUGACUUUGGGAUAACUUCAGGAAACUGGGGCUAAUACCGGAUAGGAGCUCCUGCUGCAUGGUGGGGGUUGGAAAGUUUCGGCGGUUGGGGAUGGACUCGCGGCUUAUCAGCUUGUUGGUGGGGUAGUGGCUUACCAAGGCUUUGACGGGUAGCCGACCUGAGAGGGUGACCGGCCACAUUGGGACUGAGAUACGGCCCAGACUCCUACGGGAGGCAGCAGUGGGGAAUAUUGCACAAUGGGCGGAAGCCUGAUGCAGCAACGCCGCGUGCGGGAUGACGGCCUUCGGGUUGUAAACCGCUUUCGCCUGUGACGAAGCGUGAGUGACGGUAAUGGGUAAAGAAGCACCGGCUAACUACGUG